This 324-nucleotide ribosomal RNA is filed under the name uncultured bacterium. RNAcentral describes it as "bacterial SSU rRNA". It matches the Rfam family "Bacterial small subunit ribosomal RNA", at positions 30 to 334 of the family's 1533-position model. The record is from RNAcentral.
AUUGAACGCUGGCGGCAUGCCUAACACAUGCAAGUCGAACGGUAACAGGACGCUAGGAUCCCUUCGGGGUGACUUUGUCGCUGACGAGUGGCGGACGGGUGAGUAAUGCGUAGGAAUCUACCUUCAAGUGGGGGAUAGCCCGGAGAAAUCCGGAUUAAUACCGCAUGUGCUCUACGGAGCAAAGCGGGCCUCUGUUUCAAGCUCGCGCUUGAAGGUGAGCCUACGUCGGAUUAGCUAGUUGGUGGGGUAAAAGCCUACCAAGGCGACGAUCCGUAGCUGGUUUGAGAGGAUGAUCAGCCACACUGGGACUGAGACACGGCCCAG